CAAGGAAUCUUCGGCACUGGGCGCAAGCCUGACCGAGCAACGCCGCGUGGAGGACGACGGCCUUCGGGUUGUAAACUCCUUUCGGGGGGGACGAAACGGACGGUACCCUCAGAAGCAGCCCCGGCUAACUCUGUGCCAGCAGCCGCGGUAAGACAGAGGGGGCAAGCGUUGUCCGGAUUUACUGGGCGUACAGCGCGCGUAGGCGGCCGGUGACGUGCCGUGUGACAGGCGGGGGCUCAACCCCCGACGGCCAUGGUAGACGCACCAGCUAGAGGCAGGGAGAGGGAUGUGGAAUACCCGGUGGAGCGGUGAAAUGCGUAGAGAUCGGGUGGAACACCAGGGGCGCAGGCGGCAUCCUGGCCCUGUACUGACGCUGAGGCGCGAGAGCGUGGGGAGCGAACUGG
This 404-nucleotide ribosomal RNA is filed under the name uncultured bacterium. RNAcentral's name for it is "bacterial SSU rRNA". It matches the Rfam family "Bacterial small subunit ribosomal RNA", at positions 355 to 776 of the family's 1533-position model. The record is from RNAcentral.